UACGGGGGGGCAAGCGUUGUUCGGAAUUAUUGGCGUAAAGCGCGCGUAGGCGGUUACUCAAGUCGGAUGUGAAAGCCCUCGGCUUAACUGAGGAAGUGCACCCGAAACUGAGUAGCUAGAGUACUAAAGAGGGUCGCGGAAUUCCCGGUGUAGAGGUGAAAUUCGUAGAUAUCAGGAGGAACACCGGUGGCGAAGGCGGCGACCUGGGUAGAUACUGACGCUGAGGAGCGAAAGCGUGGGGAGCGAACGAG
Molecule: ribosomal RNA, 251 nt
Filed under: uncultured bacterium
Lineage: Bacteria
Description: partial 16S ribosomal RNA
Rfam family: Bacterial small subunit ribosomal RNA
Source: RNAcentral